Molecule: long non-coding RNA, 276 nt
Filed under: Elaeis guineensis (African oil palm)
Lineage: Eukaryota; Viridiplantae; Streptophyta; Magnoliopsida; Arecales; Arecaceae
Description: long non-coding RNA (EGUI_LNC049008)
Source: RNAcentral
CCUUUUUGUUAAAUGGUGAACUUUCUUCUUCAGACGUUGGAUCGUGAACUUCAGCGGAAUCCCCUGUGGCAAGGGGAGUGCUUCGGCAGGACACUGCCAUCGGAGACAAAGGUGUCAAGGCGCAUCUCAGUGCAUAAAGCGAAACAAAAAAAGGAGGAACAGAGCGGAGAAGCCCUCCAAAAGGAGAAACCCAAUUUUAUUGAUUGAAUGUUUCUUAAAAACAAGAGGGAAAAAAAUUGCAAUAAAAGAAAAAUACAAGGUCAGAGGUCUCAGACC